RNAcentral lists this ribosomal RNA (663 nucleotides) under uncultured Tylospora. RNAcentral describes it as "eukaryotic LSU rRNA". It matches the Rfam family "Eukaryotic large subunit ribosomal RNA", at positions 1 to 633 of the family's 3401-position model. Lineage: Eukaryota; Fungi; Basidiomycota; Agaricomycetes; Atheliales; Atheliaceae. The record is from RNAcentral.
UUGACCUCAAAUCAGGUAGGACUACCCGCUGAACUUAAGCAUAUCAAUAAGCGGAGGAAAAGAAACUAACAAGGAUUCCCCUAGUAACUGCGAGUGAAGCGGGAAAAGCUCAAAUUUAAAAUCUGGCGGUCCUCGCGGCCGUCCGAGUUGUAAUCUGGAGAAGCGUUUUCCGCGUCGGACCGUGUACAAGUCUUCUGGAAUGGAGCGUCGUAGAGGGUGAGAAUCCCGUCUCUGACACGGACCGCCGAUGCUUUUGUGAUACGCUCUCGAAGAGUCGAGUUGUUUGGGAAUGCAGCUCAAAACGGGUGGUAAAUUCCAUCUAAAGCUAAAUAUUGGCGAGAGACCGAUAGCGAACAAGUACCGUGAGGGAAAGAUGAAAAGCACUUUGGAAGGAGAGUUAAACAGUACGUGAAAUUGUUGAAAGGGAAACGUUUGAAGUCAGUCGCGUCGGUCGAGACUCAACCUUGCUCUUUUGCUCGGUGCACUUCUCGGCCGACGGGUCAGCAUCAAUUUCGACCGUCGGAUAAAGGCCGAGGGAAUGUGGCAUCUUUCGGGAUGUGUUAUAGCCUUCGGUUCGCAUACGGCGAUCGGGAUUGAGGAACUCAGCGCGCCUUCAUUGGUCGGGGCUUCGGCUCACGUUAACGCGUUUAGGAUGCUGGCAUA